This 995-nucleotide ribosomal RNA is filed under the name uncultured bacterium. Its description in RNAcentral is "bacterial SSU rRNA". It matches the Rfam family "Bacterial small subunit ribosomal RNA", at positions 356 to 1376 of the family's 1533-position model. The record is from RNAcentral.
GGGGAAUAUUGCACAAUGGAGGAAACUCUGAUGCAGCGACGCCGCGUGAAGGAUGAAGUAUUUCGGUAUGUAAACUUCUAUCAGCAGGGAAGAAAAUGACGGUACCCAACAAGGAAGUGACGGCUAACUACGUGCCAGCAGCCGCGGUAAAACGUAGGUCACAAGCGUUGUCCGGAAUUACUGGGUGUAAAGGGAGCGCAGGCGGGAAGACAAGUUGGAAGUGAAAUCUAUGGGCUCAACCCAUAAACUGCUUUCAAAACUGUUUUUCUUGAGUAGUGCAGAGGUAGGCGGAAUUCCCGGUGUAGCGGUGGAAUGCGUAGAUAUCGGGAGGAACACCAGUGGCGAAGGCGGCCUACUGGGCACCAACUGACGCUGAGGCUCGAAAGUGUGGGUAGCAAACAGGAUUAGAUACCCUGGUAGUCCACACCGUAAACGAUGAUUACUAGGUGUUGGAGGAUUGACCCCUUCAGUGCCGCAGUUAACACAAUAAGUAAUCCACCUGGGGAGUACGACCGCAAGGUUGAAACUCAAAGGAAUUGACGGGGGCCCGCACAAGCAGUGGAGUAUGUGGUUUAAUUCGACGCAACGCGAAGAACCUUACCAAGUCUUGACAUCCCUUGACAGGCAUAGAAAUAUGUUUUCUCUUCGGAGCAAGGAGACAGGUGGUGCAUGGUUGUCGUCAGCUCGUGUCGUGAGAUGUUGGGUUAAGUCCCGCAACGAGCGCAACCCUUAUGGUCAGUUACUACGCAAGAGGACUCUGGCCAGACUGCCGUUGACAAAACGGAGGAAGGUGGGGAUGACGUCAAAUCAUCAUGCCCUUUAUGACUUGGGCUACACACGUACUACAAUGGCGUUAAACAAAGAGAAGCAAGACCGCGAGGUGGAGCAAAACUCAGAAACAACGUCCCAGUUCGGACUGCAGGCUGCAACUCGCCUGCACGAAGUCGGAAUUGCUAGUAAUCGUGGAUCAGCAUGCCACGGUGAAUACGUUCCCG